Molecule: transfer RNA, 65 nt
Filed under: Filhollianassa ceramica
Lineage: Eukaryota; Metazoa; Arthropoda; Malacostraca; Decapoda; Callianassidae
Description: tRNA-Leu
Source: RNAcentral
ACUAAAAUGGCAGAAAUAUGCGUAAGAUUUAGGUUCUUAUUAUGAAAUAAAAUUUUCUUUUAGUA